Molecule: transfer RNA, 70 nt
Filed under: Struthio camelus australis
Lineage: Eukaryota; Metazoa; Chordata; Aves; Struthioniformes; Struthionidae
Rfam family: tRNA
About the family: Transfer RNA (tRNA) molecules are approximately 80 nucleotides in length. Their secondary structure includes four short double-helical elements and three loops (D, anti-codon, and T loops). Further hydrogen bonds mediate the characteristic L-shaped molecular structure. tRNAs have two regions of fundamental functional importance: the anti-codon, which is responsible for specific mRNA codon recognition, and the 3' end, to which the tRNAs corresponding amino acid is attached (by aminoacyl-tRNA synthetases). tRNAs cope with the degeneracy of the genetic code in two manners: having more than one tRNA (with a specific anti-codon) for a particular amino acid; and 'wobble' base-pairing, i.e. permitting non-standard base-pairing at the 3rd anti-codon position.
Source: Rfam by way of RNAcentral
GGGGAUGUAGCUCAGUGGGAGAGCGCUUGCUUCGCAUGUAAGCCCGUGGCUUCAAGCCCCAGCAUCUCCA